UGUCAGUGAGGAAACUAUCCCGAACCUGAUUUGCUGAUGAAAAACUUAUUGCGGAUCUGGCUUCUGAGAU
This is a small nucleolar RNA of Alligator mississippiensis (American alligator), 70 nucleotides long. It matches the Rfam family "Small nucleolar RNA SNORD50". From Rfam's summary of the family: U50 belongs to the C/D class of snoRNA which contain the C (UGAUGA) and D (CUGA) box motifs. Most of the members of the box C/D family function in directing site-specific 2'-O-methylation of substrate RNAs. NCBI's taxonomy places the organism in Eukaryota, Metazoa, Chordata, Crocodylia, Alligatoridae. The record is from Rfam.